This 278-nucleotide long non-coding RNA is filed under the name Lathyrus oleraceus (garden pea). RNAcentral's name for it is "Pisum sativum (pea) long non-coding RNA (PSAT_LNC035883)". Lineage: Eukaryota; Viridiplantae; Streptophyta; Magnoliopsida; Fabales; Fabaceae. The record is from RNAcentral.
UCAGCCCUGAUCUUUGCUUUCUCCGCUUCCCACUCUGCAGCGAGGACUCUGGCUCUCUCAUCUCUCUGAUCCCUCACUAGGAUUUUCCUUCUCUUCUCGUCUUCCAUGACUUUCAAUGCUCUGAACAGCUUAUCCUUAGUGAUGUCGUGCUCCCGGUUGGACGAUGCUAAAGCUUGGCUGAUCUUCCCAUAGUAGGCUGUAUCCAUCUCAAAGCGUUUGGCUUCUAAGGCAUGCCGUUUGUCUUGAUCUUCCAUCCUCACUUUGAUCUCCUGAUUAGC